Molecule: transfer RNA, 71 nt
Filed under: Chalcopteryx rutilans
Lineage: Eukaryota; Metazoa; Arthropoda; Insecta; Odonata; Polythoridae
Description: tRNA-Asn
Source: RNAcentral
UUAAUUGAAGCCAAAGACAUUAGAGGCAUACCACUGUUAAUGGUAAGACUGAAUUAACUGUUCCAAUUAAA